RNAcentral lists this ribosomal RNA (403 nucleotides) under bacterium. Its description in RNAcentral is "partial 16S ribosomal RNA". It matches the Rfam family "Bacterial small subunit ribosomal RNA", at positions 355 to 776 of the family's 1533-position model. The record is from RNAcentral.
UGGGGAAUAUUGCACAAUGGAGGGAACUCUGAUGCAGCGACGCCGCGUGAACGAAGAAGGCUUUCGCGUCGUAAAGUUCUUUUAUAUGGGAAGAUAAUGACGGUACCAUAAGAAAAAGCCCCGGCUAACUACGUGCCAGCAGCCGCGGUAAUACGUAGGGGGCUAGCGUUGUCCGGAAUCACUGGGCGUAAAGGGUUCGCAGGCGGAAAUGCAAGUCAGGUGUAAAAGGCAGUAGCUUAACUACUGUAAGCAUUUGAAACUGCAUAUCUUGAGAAGAGUAGGGGUAAGUGGAAUUUUUAGUGUAGCGGUGAAAUGCGUAGAUAUUAGAAAGAAUACCGGUGGCGAAGGCGGCUUACUGGGCUCAUUCUGACGCUGAGGAACGAAAGCGUGGGUAGCAAACAAG